AGGAUGAACGCUGGCGGCGUGCCUAACACAUGCAAGUCGAACGUCCUGUCUCGCAAGAGGCAGGGAGUGGCGGACGGGUGAGUACCACGUGGGUCAUCUACCGUGAGGUGAGGAAUACCGGCGAGAAAUCGCCGACAAGACCGCAUAGCCUCGGUGCAAGUCGAGGAAAGCUCUCUCGAGAGAGGGAGCGCCACACGAGGAGCCUGCGCCCGAUUAGCUAGCUGGUGGAGUAAUGGUUCACCAGGGCGACGAUCGGUAGCUGGUCUGAGAGGACGAUCAGCCACACUGGGAUUGAGAACGGCCCAGACUCCUACGGGGGCAGCAGUGAGGAAUUUUCCGCAAUGGGCGAAAGCCUGACGGAGCGACGCCGCGUGUGGAAGAAGGCCUUCGGUCGUAACCACUGUCGAAGGGGACUAUACUGAAGGUACCCUUGGAGGAAGCCCGGCUAACUACGUCGCCAGCAGCCGC
This 468-nucleotide ribosomal RNA is filed under the name uncultured bacterium. RNAcentral's name for it is "SSU rRNA". It matches the Rfam family "Bacterial small subunit ribosomal RNA", at positions 26 to 518 of the family's 1533-position model. The record is from RNAcentral.